GGAAUAUUGGACAAUGGGCGAAAGCCUGAUCCAGCGACGCCGCGUGGGCGAUGAAGGCCUUCGGGUCGUAAAGCCCUUUUCUGCGUGACGAGCAAGGACGGUAGCGCAGGAAGAAGCGUCGGCUAACUACGUGCCAGCAGCCGCGGUAAAACGUAGGACGCAAGCGUUAUCCGGAGUUACUGGGCGUAAAGGGCGUGUAGGCGGCUGUUCAAGUUCGUCGUGAAAGAUCCCGGCUCAACCGGGGGAGGUCGAGGGAGACUGAGCAGCUGGAGGACGGUAGAGGGACAGGGAAUUCCGGGUGUAGUGGUGAAAUGCGUAGAGAUCCGGAGGAACACCAGUGGCGAAGGCGCUGUCCUGGGCCGCACCUGACGCUGAGACGCGACAGCAUGGGGAGCGAA
RNAcentral lists this ribosomal RNA (398 nucleotides) under uncultured bacterium. RNAcentral describes it as "bacterial SSU rRNA". It matches the Rfam family "Bacterial small subunit ribosomal RNA", at positions 358 to 772 of the family's 1533-position model. The record is from RNAcentral.